This 589-nucleotide long non-coding RNA is filed under the name Phascolarctos cinereus (koala). RNAcentral's name for it is "lncRNA (ENSPCIG00000008323.2)". Lineage: Eukaryota; Metazoa; Chordata; Mammalia; Diprotodontia; Phascolarctidae. The record is from RNAcentral.
AAUACCACAAGGAUGGGCAACUAUGGUAAAAACCUAGGACAGCAUAUGCACCUGGAAGAAUACUACUCACAUGGCAUUGCAAGUGCCUUCCAUAGAAAUGAAGUCAACCCAGAUAAUUUUGAUCAUUUCAAAUCAUGGCAUGAAUCAUGGCAGACCAGGAAAAGACAAUGAUUUACUACUUUGAAGGGCAAGCAUGUGUGUGAUUAAAGAAUAUAAGUGCAGGACUCCAAGAUUUACUUCCUUCCUGCUCUGUCCAGCAGGGAUACCUGAGGAGAGCAAAAUCCAUCUACUGAAGAAAACAACUGCAUUGCUCUCUCCAGAAGAAAAUGUGCCUUUGAUAUUAAAGUGUUAUGAAGGAGUACAAACGAGAGAGGAGAUCUGGCAAAUGGCACUAGCCGUGAUAAAGAAGGAAUACUACAUUUUCCUAGAGAGCAUUUACUUCCAUGAACAGGAUGUGAAACUGGCUUUCAUUUGCAAGGAUACAAUCUGCCACUUUCAUUUUGUAUCAUCAUCACCCACCAAAAGGCAAUCCUUUUCCAAGGACAAGAGUAAAAAGAAGCAGAAGAAAGGCCUGAAAGGAAUAAAAUGA